UACGUAGGGGGCAAGCGUUGUCCGGAAUCAUUGGGCGUAAAGAGCGCGUAGGCGGUCCGGUAAGUCCGCUCUGAAAGUCCGGGGCUCAACCCCGGGAGGCGGGCGGAUACUGUCGGGCUAGAGUCCGGAAGAGGCGAGUGGAAUUCCUGGUGUAGCGGUGAAAUGCGCAGAUAUCAGGAAGAACACCGAUGGCGAAGGCAGCUCUCUGGGACGGUACUGACGCUGAGACGCGAAAGCGUGGGGAGCGAACAGG
RNAcentral lists this ribosomal RNA (253 nucleotides) under uncultured bacterium. Its description in RNAcentral is "partial 16S ribosomal RNA". It matches the Rfam family "Bacterial small subunit ribosomal RNA", at positions 524 to 776 of the family's 1533-position model. The record is from RNAcentral.